Molecule: long non-coding RNA, 536 nt
Filed under: Mytilus galloprovincialis (Mediterranean mussel)
Lineage: Eukaryota; Metazoa; Mollusca; Bivalvia; Mytilida; Mytilidae
Source: RNAcentral
CAUUCUUGCUUGCGUUGUGGUCUGCAUCAUCCAAUUAUAAGUUGUAAUAAGCAAAACCAGUUUCAUAGCCAAGUGUCAAGUCAAACUAGGACUGAACCUAGAUUCAAUGGUCCAAGAUUUACUAGACCAAGGUCUAAUUUUCGUUCCCCAAGACCAAAUUAUCAACCUCAAAGACCAAAUGGACGCUUUAUGGGAGCUAUAGGCAGAACACCUAUUAACGUUGCUUGUUUAGAAAAAUACUUAAGAUAUUACCCUGACUCAAAAACUUCUUUAUUGUUAUUGGAUGGUUUCAGGAAUGGUUUUAGUCUUCAAUAUUCCGGUCCUCGUACUCCUUUUAUUUCAAAAGAAUCUCAAAUCAGCUGAAAUGCUUAAGAUAGAAACGCAGUCGAAAUUAAAUAAAGAAAUUACUUUAGGUAGAAUGUGUGGUCCUUUUAAAAAAAAAUGCCUAUAUCAACCUUGCGCACUUCACCAAUUGGAUUGGUUAAUAAAUCCGAUGGGAGUUUUCGGCUUAUAAUGCACUUGUCUUUUCCAAACGG